AGUCGAGCGAACGGACGAGAAGCUUGCUUCUCUGAUGUUAGCGGCGGACGGGUGAGUAACACGUGGAUAACCUACCUAUAAGACUGGGAUAACUUCGGGAAACCGGAGCUAAUACCGGAUAAUAUUUUGAACCGCAUGGUUCAAAAGUGAAAGACGGUCUUGCUGUCACUUAUAGAUGGAUCCGCGCUGCAUUAGCUAGUUGGUAAGGUAACGGCUUACCAAGGCAACGAUGCAUAGCCGACCUGAGAGGGUGAUCGGCCACACUGGAACUGAGACACGGUCCAGACUCCUACGGGAGGCAGCAGUAGGGAAUCUUCCGCAAUGGGCGAAAGCCUGACGGAGCAACGCCGCGUGAGUGAUGAAGGUCUCCGGAUCGUAAAACUCUGUUAUUAGGGAAGAACAUAUGUGUAAGUAACUGUGCACAUCUUGACGGUACCUAAUCAGAAAGCCACGGCUAACUACGUGCCAGCAGCCGCGGUAAUACGUAGGUGGCAAGCGUUAUCCGGAAUUAUUGGGCGUAAAGCGCGCGUAGGCGGUUUUUUAAGUCUGAUGUGAAAGCCCACGGCUCAACCGUGGAGGGUCAUUGGAAACUGGAAAACUUGAGUGCAGAAGAGGAAAGUGGAAUUCCAUGUGUAGCGGUGAAAUGCGCAGAGAUAUGGAGGAACACCAGUGGCGAAGGCGACUUUCUGGUCUGUAACUGACGCUGAUGUGCGAAAGCGUGGGGAUCAAAC
This 731-nucleotide ribosomal RNA is filed under the name uncultured Staphylococcus sp. RNAcentral's name for it is "bacterial SSU rRNA". It matches the Rfam family "Bacterial small subunit ribosomal RNA", at positions 60 to 773 of the family's 1533-position model. Lineage: Bacteria; Bacillati; Bacillota; Bacilli; Caryophanales; Staphylococcaceae. The record is from RNAcentral.